GGCUUUUCUGUUGGGCUUCAUUACUAUAUGUCGGUGUUUCACAGAGCCGUGCUGAGACAGCCACCCAAGACCAACUGGAAGGUGCAUGGGAUUUACGCCACGUGUUAUCUUGUGAUUUGCCUGUUUGCUACAGCUGAGAGGAGGAAGAAGGCUUACUUGGAAGAGGGGGGUGAAGAGGGCAAGAAGAGCUAAUUUUGUUGAAUAAAAAUUAGUGGGUUAAAAACCAAUCAAAUUCUUGGUAUACAAAGUGAAAAAUCACCUCCUAUUUUCACCUCUCUUUUAUUAUAGUAGUUUUUUGUUUUUAUUUUUUUAGAUUUAGGAAGAAUUUAUUAUUUAUCCUGCCAUAAGCUCUGGUGGCAUGUAAUACCAUUGGCCAAGAACCCUGGUGUUAUGAAAUAAAUUAUGCAAUUGGGAC
RNAcentral lists this long non-coding RNA (415 nucleotides) under Prunus persica (peach). RNAcentral's name for it is "long non-coding RNA (PPER_LNC006427)". The record is from RNAcentral. Lineage: Eukaryota; Viridiplantae; Streptophyta; Magnoliopsida; Rosales; Rosaceae.